UACCUACGGGGCGCAGCAGUGGGGAAUCUUCCGCAAUGGGCGAAAGCCUGACGGAGCAACGCCGCGUGAUCGAAUGAAGGCCUUCGGGUUGUAAAGAUCUGUUGACAGGGACGAAUAAGCAAUGCGAAUAGUUUUGUGUAUGACGGUACCUGUUUAGAAAGCCACGGCUAACUACGUGCCAGCAGCCGCGGUAAUACGUAGGUGGCAAGCGUUGUCCGGAAUUACUGGGUGUAAAGGGAGCGUAGGCGGGAAGCCAAGUCAGCUGUGAAAACUACGGGCUUAACCUGUAGACUGCAGUUGAAACU
This 305-nucleotide ribosomal RNA is filed under the name uncultured bacterium. RNAcentral's name for it is "bacterial SSU rRNA". It matches the Rfam family "Bacterial small subunit ribosomal RNA", at positions 335 to 634 of the family's 1533-position model. The record is from RNAcentral.